UGAAAACUAAAUUAACGUUUUCUUAACGUUUUUUUUUUACUUUAGCGGAUAAAAUAUGUGAAAAUACGACUCAAUAUUGUAUGAUGGGUAGGGUGGGAUAAGACGGGACACCUUUAGCACUUAAAAUCUAAAUAUCCUGAUCGGGUUUUAAACGAUUAACAACGGUCUACUAUAAGAGUCCUGAGGUGUCCCAUCUUCCCCCACCCUACUACUAAACAAAACAGUUAAAACAUUGAUUUCGGUAGUUAAUAAAACAAAAUAAACAAAAUGCCCAGAAAUAGUAUUAAUUUCAUUUUCAUGUAAGAUAAGGCGUACCAGUGCGGAAAAAAGAUACCAAAUUAAGGUUAAGGAACUGUUGGGCGUUUGAACAUAGGUGAUUGCUACCAGGAUAUAAAACAGGGGCAUGACAAGCUAGGUACACUCAGGUCUCCGCCUGCCUUUAAUUGAACUGAUGUCGCCGAGCUGUUUACUAAGACUGCUAAUCUACAACAUCAAACAUCUUACCCAGUGUUGCCAGAUUAAAAUUU
Molecule: non-coding RNA, 527 nt
Organism: Ciona intestinalis (vase tunicate)
Lineage: Eukaryota; Metazoa; Chordata; Ascidiacea; Phlebobranchia; Cionidae
Source: RefSeq, a predicted model, not a curated record